Molecule: ribosomal RNA, 460 nt
Filed under: uncultured bacterium
Lineage: Bacteria
Description: partial 16S ribosomal RNA
Rfam family: Bacterial small subunit ribosomal RNA
Source: RNAcentral
CCUACGGGUGGCAGCAGUGAGGAAUAUUGGUCAAUGGACGAGAGUCUGAACCAGCCAAGUAGCGUGAAGGAUGACUGCCCUAUGGGUUGUAAACUUCUUUUAUAUGGGAAUAAAAUGUUCCACGUGUGGGAUUUUGUAUGUACCAUAUGAAUAAGGAUCGGCUAACUCCGUGCCAGCAGCCGCGGUAAUACGGAGGGUCCGAGCGUUAUCCGGAUUUAUUGGGUUUAAAGGGAGCGUAGGUGGAUUGUUAAGUCAGUUGUGAAAGUUUGCGGCUCAACCGUAAAAUUGCAGUUGAAACUGGCAGUCUUGAGUACAGUAGAGGUGGGCGGAAUUCGUGGUGUAGCGGUGAAAUGCGUAGAUAUCACGAAGAACUCCGAUUGCGAAGGCAGUUCACUGGACUGCAACUGACACUGAGGCUCGAAAGUGUGGGUAUCAAACAGGAUUAGAUACCCUUGUAGUC